This 76-nucleotide transfer RNA is filed under the name Betaproteobacteria bacterium. RNAcentral's name for it is "tRNA-Lys". It matches the Rfam family "tRNA". From Rfam's summary of the family: Transfer RNA (tRNA) molecules are approximately 80 nucleotides in length. Lineage: Bacteria; Pseudomonadati; Pseudomonadota; Betaproteobacteria. The record is from RNAcentral.
GGGGGUAUAGCUCAGUUGGUAGAGCAGCUGACUCUUAAUCAGUAGGUCCCAGGUUCGAGCCCUGGUGCCCCCACCA